Molecule: long non-coding RNA, 2089 nt
Organism: Scylla paramamosain (green mud crab)
Lineage: Eukaryota; Metazoa; Arthropoda; Malacostraca; Decapoda; Portunidae
Exons: 3
Source: RefSeq, a predicted model, not a curated record
AUUCCAGUACACAUUAUCACUUGUGUCCAGAUGGAAGGCACAGCUCGGCAUGGUACGGUGGUUGUGCCACACUGUUGAGUAUAAUGGUUCAUAGCGAAGCUUAUCAUUGGUUCUCUCUCUCUCUCUUUCUCUCUCUCUCUUUGCUAAUCAAGCAAGCAUGGUGGCUUAGAGACGUGAGGGAAUCACACUGCCCACUGCCUAGCAGAAUCUGGAGACAGAAAAGUUCUAGUGAUGAAGAUAGAGAAGUGGCGGACAGGUUGUAGUGGAGAAUUAACACUGGUUUAACUGGAGUAAUGGAAUGAAUGCGUUUCGGGUUUUCUGUUUCAUCAUUCUAUAAUUUAGUUAACUUAAUUAUAUUGCGGGAAAGAGAAGAUAACGACUAGAUUUUCAUAUACAGCAUGUAGAAUGGAGUGGCGAAUGAAGAAGAAAAAAAAAAAAAAAUGGCGAUAUAUGUAUUCCCGUGACAUUUUGAAAGUGACCGAUUACGCACUGCAGAGCCACAGUAAUCCCACGGCACGUUAUCCGCCGCCAUUAUUGCUGUGUGGUGGACUGGUGGUGGCAGACCGGCAGGAACGGACUGAAAAGCUUAGGUCAUGCUGCUGCGGAAGUGUUUCAUUUGGUGGUCUUUUGCAAUACCAUUCCUCGGAUCAUGGCCUGGAAUGGAACCACAAGGGACAUCAUCACAGCCUGUAGCAUCAGACCCAACAACAGAGGAAUAAAUGCUCUAGGCAGUACAACCACCAGCAGAGGUUUGCCCAUCUGCCAUGGUCAUGACAGUUCAUCCUGUGUGAUCUGUGGUGAAAGCCUGUCACAGCAAAUUUAUCCUGUCUUAAGAUGAGUUUCUCAUUGUUUCCAUGAUGCUUCAUCCUUGCUAUCUUAUGGUGCUGUAAGUUAACAACUAAGGAGGGGGGCCCUACUCUCAAAGGAGCAUCGGAGUUGGAAGUGGUUGGAAGGAGACAUGGAAGACUGAAAACCUGGUGUGUGGCAGAAUGCAUAUGAAGGCUGAACAUCAGAGACUGUUUAUGACUGCAGAAACAGAAUCUUAAGCUGUCCAACCUUGUAAAGGAAAAUAAGAACUAAAAUUGGAGAAGGUGGUGAUACAAGGUUUUCACACAGUGCCACCAUGAUGGCACCAAGUAUAUAUAUAUUAUAUAUAAAAAAAAAAAAAAAAAAAAAAAAAAAAAAAAAAGGUGGUGCUAGCAUGGGGAUGUGAAAAUUCUUGACUACACAAGCUUGGCUGCCACACACAAAAUGUCAUUCCUUGCUGCCACAUACUUGGUAAUAGUGCCAGAUGUGGCCACAUGAGUCACUUAACAUAUGGUGGUGUAACCUUGGUGGCAUUGUGUGAAGAGACCCUUAUGGUUACACUCAAACGUAAUGAUCUUGGGGGACACUGGUUUAAGUCUUGCCAGAAGCUGGUCAUUUUUAAGUUGUUGAUUGGCUGAAAAAUAUUCACCUGCUUUCUGUUAACCGUCUUCAAUUGGAACUACACUUGGAGACUGCUUUCUGUCAACCCUGUCUUCAUUUGGAACUGCACUGGGAAAGCUUUUGGGGGUAGCAAGAGUCUGCAGAGAUGUCACUAAAAUACUACCUGCACCAGCACAAGUCCAUCUAAGACUUGCUAAUGAUAUAUUUGCAGCUGAAAUGCUGACUAGUGCUUUAGUUGAUAUUAGGAAGUACUUUUUUUUGUUUAGGCUAGAGUGAGAGUGGAUACAAAUUUACUAUGGUCAUGUGUGUAGUAAUGGAGGAUAUAAUGUUCAGCUAUUUCUUUUUGCCCUGUAUUAUUUUGGUUGUGGGCCUUACCCUGAUGUUUCAUAGUUUCUUUAACUGCCCCCCCCCCCCCCCCCUCUCUCUCUCUCUCUCUCUCUCUCUCUCUCUCUCUCUCUCUCUCUCUCUCUCUCUCUCUCUCUCUCUCAGCCCAUAGACCCACAGUAUGUUCCCCCACAGUAUGUUUAUUAAUCACAGUCAAUACCCACUGUCCCUUACAUUUUUAUACUCAUGUACACAGAGCACUUCAUUCUCCUUGUAUUGUAUUAAACAAACCUGACAUCCUCUUGUACCACAGCAACAAUAAAAUGUUUAUCAAAAC